Molecule: ribosomal RNA, 465 nt
Filed under: Vreelandella stevensii
Lineage: Bacteria; Pseudomonadati; Pseudomonadota; Gammaproteobacteria; Oceanospirillales; Halomonadaceae
Description: partial 16S ribosomal RNA
Rfam family: Bacterial small subunit ribosomal RNA
Source: RNAcentral
CCUACGGGUGGCAGCAGUGGGGAAUAUUGGACAAUGGGCGAAAGCCUGAUCCAGCCAUGCCGCGUGUGUGAAGAAGGCCUUCGGGUUGUAAAGCACUUUCAGUGGGGAAGAAAGCCUUGGGGCUAAUACCCUCGAGGAAGGACAUCACCCACAGAAGAAGCACCGGCUAACUCCGUGCCAGCAGCCGCGGUAAUACGGAGGGUGCGAGCGUUAAUCGGAAUUACUGGGCGUAAAGCGCGCGUAGGCGGUCUGAUAAGCCGGUUGUGAAAGCCCCGGGCUCAAACUGGGAACGGCAUCCGGAACUGUCAGGCUAGAGUGCAGGAGAGGAAGGUAGAAUUCCCGGUGUAGCGGUGAAAUGCGUAGAGAUCGGGAGGAAUACCAGUGGCGAAGGCGGCCUUCUGGACUGACACUGACGCUGAGGUGCGAAAGCGUGGGUAGCAAAUAGGAUUAGAUACCCUGGUAGUC